ACCCCAAGGAUGUAAGUGGUGGUUGUGACCGGGGUCAUGGCGCAGCUUGUUCAUGUGGCGGCAAACCCAUAACUGAAUAAUGAGUGAUGGGAAGCCAUUUGUUCAUUGUCAUUUCUUGGACAACUAUGGAAGAUGAGGACAGAUUUUCCCAGCCUAAGGCAAAAUGGAUUUGGAAGUACAGACCCUAGGAAUCACCAAGAGCCAGGGGCUGACAGCCACCAAAUAUCUCUGCAGGAAGAAGGUAUGUAAAACUUUGAUUUCUGUAACCAGCACUGCCAUCCCCUCCUGCCUACCUUCACCCACAGGAGCCCAGCUCAAAGGCCAUGGAGUCCCACUGGCCACUGUGGGCGUC
Molecule: long non-coding RNA, 352 nt
Organism: Neopsephotus bourkii (Bourke's parrot)
Lineage: Eukaryota; Metazoa; Chordata; Aves; Psittaciformes; Psittacidae
Exons: 4
Source: RefSeq, a predicted model, not a curated record